UCCAUCAUUCAGUUGGGCACUCUAGAGAGACUGCCGAGGACAACUCGGAGGAAGGUGGGGAUGACGUCAAAUCAUCAUGCCCCUUAUGUCCUGGGCUACACACGUGCUACAAUGGCUGGUACAAAGAGACGCAAGACCGCGAGGUGGAGCAAAUCUCAAAAACCAGUCCCAGUUCGGAUUGCAGGCUGCAACUCGCCUGCAUGAAGUUGGAGUUGCUAGUAAUCGCAGAUCAGAAUGCUGCGGUGAAUGCGUUCCCGGGUCUU
Molecule: ribosomal RNA, 263 nt
Filed under: uncultured Eubacteriales bacterium
Lineage: Bacteria; Bacillati; Bacillota; Clostridia; Eubacteriales
Description: uncultured Clostridiales bacterium partial 16S ribosomal RNA
Rfam family: Bacterial small subunit ribosomal RNA
Source: RNAcentral